AAACCAACCGGGAUUGCCUUAGUAACGGCGAGUGAAGCGGCAAAAGCUCAAAUUUGAAAUCUGGUACCUUCGGUGCCCGAGUUGUAAUUUGGAGAGGGCAACUUUGGGGCCGUUCCUUGUCUAUGUUCCUUGGAACAGGACGUCAUAGAGGGUGAGAAUCCCGUGUGGCGAGGAGUGCGGUUCUUUGUAAAGUGCCUUCGAAGAGUCGAGUUGUUUGGGAAUGCAGCUCUAAGUGGGUGGUAAAUUCCAUCUAAAGCUAAAUAUUGGCGAGAGACCGAUAGCGAACAAGUACAGUGAUGGAAAGAUGAAAAGAACUUUGAAAAGAGAGUGAAAAAGUACGUGAAAUUGUUGAAAGGGAAGGGCAUUUGAUCAGACAUGGUGUUUUGUGCCCUCUGCUCCUUGUGGGUAGGGGAAUCUCGCAUUUCACUGGGCCAGCAUCAGUUUUGGUGGCAGGAUAAAUCCAUAGGAAUGUAGCUUGCCUCGGUAAGUAUUAUAGCCUGUGGGAAUACUGCCAGCUGGGACUGAGGACUGCGACGUAAGUCAAGGAUGCUGGCAUAAUGGUAAUAUGCCGCCCGUCUUGAAACACGGACC
Molecule: ribosomal RNA, 591 nt
Filed under: Saccharomyces cerevisiae (brewer's yeast)
Lineage: Eukaryota; Fungi; Ascomycota; Saccharomycetes; Saccharomycetales; Saccharomycetaceae
Description: eukaryotic LSU rRNA
Rfam family: Eukaryotic large subunit ribosomal RNA
Source: RNAcentral